RNAcentral lists this ribosomal RNA (830 nucleotides) under Bacillus aerophilus. RNAcentral describes it as "bacterial SSU rRNA". It matches the Rfam family "Bacterial small subunit ribosomal RNA", at positions 63 to 875 of the family's 1533-position model. Lineage: Bacteria; Bacillati; Bacillota; Bacilli; Caryophanales; Bacillaceae. The record is from RNAcentral.
CGAGCGGACAGAAGGGAGCUUGCUCCCGGAUGUUAGCGGCGGACGGGUGAGUAACACGUGGGUAACCUGCCUGUAAGACUGGGAUAACUCCGGGAAACCGGAGCUAAUACCGGAUAGUUCCUUGAACCGCAUGGUUCAAGGAUGAAAGACGGUUUCGGCUGUCACUUACAGAUGGACCCGCGGCGCAUUAGCUAGUUGGUGAGGUAACGGCUCACCAAGGCGACGAUGCGUAGCCGACCUGAGAGGGUGAUCGGCCACACUGGGACUGAGACACGGCCCAGACUCCUACGGGAGGCAGCAGUAGGGAAUCUUCCGCAAUGGACGAAAGUCUGACGGAGCAACGCCGCGUGAGUGAUGAAGGUUUUCGGAUCGUAAAGCUCUGUUGUUAGGGAAGAACAAGUGCAAGAGUAACUGCUUGCACCUUGACGGUACCUAACCAGAAAGCCACGGCUAACUACGUGCCAGCAGCCGCGGUAAUACGUAGGUGGCAAGCGUUGUCCGGAAUUAUUGGGCGUAAAGGGCUCGCAGGCGGUUUCUUAAGUCUGAUGUGAAAGCCCCCGGCUCAACCGGGGAGGGUCAUUGGAAACUGGGAAACUUGAGUGCAGAAGAGGAGAGUGGAAUUCCACGUGUAGCGGUGAAAUGCGUAGAGAUGUGGAGGAACACCAGUGGCGAAGGCGACUCUCUGGUCUGUAACUGACGCUGAGGAGCGAAAGCGUGGGGAGCGAACAGGAUUAGAUACCCUGGUAGUCCACGCCGUAAACGAUGAGUGCUAAGUGUUAGGGGGUUUCCGCCCCUUAGUGCUGCAGCUAACGCAUUAAGCACUCCGCCUG